UAUGGCCACAUCACGUUGAAACAUCGGUUCCCAUACGCGAUCACCGAAGCUAAGCAACGUCGAGCCUUGUCACUACCUAGAUGGGUGACCGUUUAGGAAUACUUGGUGCUGUAAG
RNAcentral lists this ribosomal RNA (115 nucleotides) under Acanthosepion pharaonis. The record is from RNAcentral. Lineage: Eukaryota; Metazoa; Mollusca; Cephalopoda; Sepiida; Sepiidae.